GACGAACGCUGGCGGCGUGCUUAACACAUGCAAGUCGAGCGGUAAGGCCCUUCGGGGUACGACGAGCGGCGAACGGGUGAGUAACACGUGGGUGACCUGCCUCUAGCUCUGGGAUAAGCCUGGGAAACUGGGUCUAAUACCGGAUAUGACUCCACGGCGCAUGUUGUGGGGUGGAAAGCCUUGUGUGGCUAGAGAUGGGCCCGCGGCCUAUCAGCUUGUUGGUGGGGUGAUGGCCUACCAAGGCGACGACGGGUAGCCGGCCUGAGAGGGCGACCGGCCACACUGGGACUGAGACGCGGCCCAGACUCCUACGGGAGGCAGCAGUGGGGAAUCUUGCGCAAUGGGCGAAAAGCCUGACGCAGCGACGCCGCGUGAGGGAUGACGGCCU
Molecule: ribosomal RNA, 388 nt
Filed under: uncultured bacterium
Lineage: Bacteria
Description: bacterial SSU rRNA
Rfam family: Bacterial small subunit ribosomal RNA
Source: RNAcentral